GUGAGGAAUAUUGGACAAUGGGCGCAAGCCUGAUCCAGCCAUGCCGCGUGCAGGAAGACGCAUCUAUGGUGUGUAGACUGCUUUUGUACGGGAAGAAACACUCCCUCGUGAGGGAGCUUGACGGUACCGUAAGAAUAAGGAUCGGCUAACUCCGUGCCAGCAGCCGCGGUAAUACGGAGGAUCCAAGCGUUAUCCGGAAUCAUUGGGUUUAAAGGGUCCGUAGGCGGUUUAAUAAGUCAGUGGUGAAAGCCCAUCGCUCAACGAUGGAACGGCCAUUGAUACUGUUAGACUUGAAUUACAAGGAAGUAACUAGAAUAUGUAGUGUAGCGGUGAAAUGCUUAGAUAUUACAUGGAAUACCAAUUGCGAAGGCAGGUUACUACUUGUGGAUUGACGCUGAUGGACGAAAGCGUGGGGAGCGAACAGGAUUAGGAACCCGUGUAGUCC
This 445-nucleotide ribosomal RNA is filed under the name uncultured bacterium. RNAcentral's name for it is "partial 16S ribosomal RNA". It matches the Rfam family "Bacterial small subunit ribosomal RNA", at positions 354 to 796 of the family's 1533-position model. The record is from RNAcentral.